GAUCAAACCACAAAGGGCAUACGGUGGAUGACUUGGCGUCAAGAGGCGAUGAAGGACGUUGGAACCUGCGAAAAGCUAUAGGGAGCCGGUAACCAGGCUGUGAUCUAUAGAUGUCCGAAUGGGGAAACCCACCCGCAAGGG
This 141-nucleotide ribosomal RNA is filed under the name Phycisphaerales bacterium. RNAcentral's name for it is "partial 23S ribosomal RNA". It matches the Rfam family "Bacterial large subunit ribosomal RNA", at positions 1 to 140 of the family's 2925-position model. Lineage: Bacteria; Pseudomonadati; Planctomycetota; Phycisphaerae; Phycisphaerales. The record is from RNAcentral.